CGCCGGGACCCACGCGGCAGACGCUCUCGAACCAGGUCAGGUCCGGAAGGAAGCAGCCUUAAGGGAUGUCGACUGGGUGCCGUGGACCAUCCUGGCGUGA
Molecule: signal recognition particle RNA, 100 nt
Filed under: Thermoleophilaceae bacterium
Lineage: Bacteria; Bacillati; Actinomycetota; Thermoleophilia; Thermoleophilales; Thermoleophilaceae
Description: signal recognition particle sRNA small type
Rfam family: Bacterial small signal recognition particle RNA
About the family: The signal recognition particle (SRP) is a universally conserved ribonucleoprotein involved in the co-translational targeting of proteins to membranes. Archaeal SRP consists of a 7S RNA and homologues of the eukaryotic SRP19 and SRP54 proteins. In most bacteria, the SRP consists of a 4.5S RNA and the Ffh protein (a homologue of the eukaryotic SRP54 protein).
Source: RNAcentral